RNAcentral lists this ribosomal RNA (600 nucleotides) under Microbacterium oxydans. Its description in RNAcentral is "bacterial SSU rRNA". It matches the Rfam family "Bacterial small subunit ribosomal RNA", at positions 770 to 1365 of the family's 1533-position model. Lineage: Bacteria; Bacillati; Actinomycetota; Actinomycetes; Micrococcales; Microbacteriaceae. The record is from RNAcentral.
AAACAGGCUUAGAUACCCUGGUAGUCCACCCCGUAAACGUUGGGAACUAGUUGUGGGGUCCAUUCCACGGAUUCCGUGACGCAGCUAACGCAUUAAGUUCCCCGCCUGGGGAGUACGGCCGCAAGGCUAAAACUCAAAGGAAUUGACGGGGACCCGCACAAGCGGCGGAGCAUGCGGAUUAAUUCGAUGCAACGCGAAGAACCUUACCAAGGCUUGACAUAUACGAGAACGGGCCAGANAAUGGUCAACUCUUUGGACACUCGUAAACAGGUGGUGCAUGGUUGUCGUCAGCUCGUGUCGUGAGAUGUUGGGUUAAGUCCCGCAACGAGCAGCAACCCUCGUUCUAUGUUGCCACGCACGUAAUGGUGGGAACUCAUGGGAUACUGCCGGGGUCAACUCGGAGGAAGGUGGGGAUGACGUCAAAUCAUCAUGCCCCUUAUGUCUUGGGCUUCACGCAUGCUACAAUGGCCGGUACAAAGGGCUGCAAUACCGCGAGGUGGAGCGAAUCCCAAAAAGCCGGUCCCAGUUCGGAUUGAGGUCUGCAACUCGACCUCAUGAAGUCGGAGUCGCUAGUAAUCGCAGAUCAGCAACGCUGCGUAA